Molecule: small nuclear RNA, 303 nt
Filed under: Microcebus murinus (gray mouse lemur)
Lineage: Eukaryota; Metazoa; Chordata; Mammalia; Primates; Cheirogaleidae
Description: 7SK RNA (ENSMICG00000024920.3)
Rfam family: 7SK RNA
About the family: 7SK was discovered as an abundant small nuclear RNA in the mid-70s but a possible function has only recently been suggested. Two independent studies have found that 7SK RNA binds the CDK9/cyclin T complex (known as elongation factor P-TEFb). P-TEFb activates transcription by phosphorylating the C-terminal domain of RNA polymerase II.
Source: RNAcentral
AGAUGUGAAGGUGAUCUGGAUGCAACAUCUGUCAUCCCAUUGAUUGCCAGGGUUGAUUCAGAUGAUCUGGCUGGCUAGGUGAGUGUCCCCUUCCUCCCUCACCACUCAAUGUGUGUCCCUCAUGAAGCUACAUGUUUGGUGGAAGAGGAUGACCUUCUCUGAUAAAAGAGGACUAUUCUUCGAUCAAAGGUAUAUGAGUAGCUUGUGCUCCCCUGCUAGAACCUCCAAACAAGCUCUCAAAAUGAAGGUAGGGCCAUGUUCUCUCUGAAUGCUCUAGGGAAUAAUCUGUUCCAAGCUUCUUUC